GUGAACGCUGGCGGUAGGCCUAACACAUGCAAGUCGAACGGCAGCACAGUAAGAGCUUGCUCUUACGGGUGGCGAGUGGCGGACGGGUGAGGAAUACAUCGGAAUCUACUUUUUCGUGGGGGAUAACGUAGGGAAACUUACGCUAAUACCGCAUACGACCUACGGGUGAAAGCAGGGGAUCUUCGGACCUUGCGCGAUUGAAUGAGCCGAUGUCGGAUUAGCUAGUUGGCGGGGUAAAGGCCCACCAAGGCGACGAUCCGUAGCUGGUCUGAGAGGGUGAUCAGCCACACUGGAACUGAGACACGGUCCAGACUCCUACGGGAGGCAGCAGUGGGGAAUAUUGGACAAUGGGCGCAAGCCCGAUCCAGCCAUACCGCGUGGGUGAAGAAGGCCUUCGGGUUGUAAAGCCCUUUUGUUGGGAAAGAAAAGCAGCAGGUUAAUACCCCGCUGUUCUGACGGUACCCAAAGAAUAAGCACCGGCUAACUUCGUG
This 491-nucleotide ribosomal RNA is filed under the name uncultured bacterium. RNAcentral describes it as "partial 16S ribosomal RNA". It matches the Rfam family "Bacterial small subunit ribosomal RNA", at positions 29 to 507 of the family's 1533-position model. The record is from RNAcentral.